GCCGGGCACUGAGGCCCAUGCCUGGAGUCCCAGCCACUUGGGAGGCUGAGGCAGGAGGAUGUCUUGAGCUUAGGAGUCCAAGGCCAUCCUGGGCAAGACCCCACCUCAG
This 109-nucleotide small RNA is filed under the name Marmota monax (woodchuck). Lineage: Eukaryota; Metazoa; Chordata; Mammalia; Rodentia; Sciuridae. The record is from RNAcentral.